GCUUGAUCCUGGAACUGUUGGAUCGACGUGCCUGCGGGGAAUCCCUUCAGACAGGACUGGAACUACUCUGUAUGGGGGUCAAGCGAUCUGAGUGGGAGACUUUAAAGGUGCAGGGAGGAGGCUGAGGCUCAGUAGGAGGGGCCCGCCGGGAGGGGAGUGGAGGGCUGGGGCUCAGGUGCCUGAGGAGGACUGGUGGCCGUGGAGGCAGACACGGUGAUGGACACGGAGGAGCAGUGAGCCCAUGAUAAGGCUUGCACACAAAAGCUCACAAAACCACACAAAACCCAGGGAUCCUUCAUGAUGGAAGCUGCCGUGGAAGUCGGAUGGACGUUCAUUCCUCUGCUGUGAGCACAGUGCUCUGGGUGACAGAGGAGUAACAACCAGGCUUGCUGACGGGGAAUACCCCUCCACGUAAGGGUAAUGGCACAUACACCACGCAGCGCAGGGCUGGCUCGGAGAUGGGUUUCGCUUUCCCGCAUGGCUUCGGCCUGGGCCCUGCCUUUUUGUACAUUUGAAUUAGUGGUGAACACCACAAACUAGAAGAUUGCACAUAAGAAUCAGAAUGUUUCGGCUUCUCUUGGGAAUAGAAGCACUUGGUGUGCAGGGUUUACUUUUCCCUGAUGAUGGCAGCUGGCUGAACUCUGGCGGCCCCCACAUCCGUCACGUGCUCUUCAGCAUCCCUGUCACCAUAGAAACCCCAUCCUGCCGUUCACUUCUGCCUCCUCCCUGCGUUCCAGGUUCCAGGCAUUGGAGCACAGAUGUGUCGACUGCAACCUGCCUGGAGCGGCUCUGGGCUAGUGUUUCUCAAAGUAUGUCCUCAGGAUUCUGUCAUCAGAGGCACCUGGGAAAACAGUGCAGAGUCCAGCCCCCCUCCAGACCUACAGAAGGUGAAUGUGGGGGCCUGGGAAUGUGCAUUUUAAGCAUGUGAAUCUGUCCUGGGGGUGGCGGGUAACAACACCUUCCUGAAUCCAGACGACUCAUCAGCU
RNAcentral lists this long non-coding RNA (986 nucleotides) under Callithrix jacchus (white-tufted-ear marmoset). RNAcentral's name for it is "lncRNA (ENSCJAG00000079362.1)". The record is from RNAcentral. Lineage: Eukaryota; Metazoa; Chordata; Mammalia; Primates; Cebidae.